This 378-nucleotide ribosomal RNA is filed under the name uncultured bacterium. Its description in RNAcentral is "bacterial SSU rRNA". It matches the Rfam family "Bacterial small subunit ribosomal RNA", at positions 28 to 407 of the family's 1533-position model. The record is from RNAcentral.
GACGAACGCUGGCGGCGUGCUUAACACAUGCAAGUCGAGCGGUAAGGCCCUUUCGGGGGUACACGAGCGGCGAACGGGUGAGUAACACGUGGGUGACCUGCCCUCAGCUCUGGGAUAAGACCUGGGAAACCGGGUCUAAUACCGGAUAUGACUCCAUGACGCAUGUUGUGGGGUGAAAGCCUUGUGCGGCUGAGGAUGGGGCCCGCGGCCUAUCAGCUUGUUGGUGGGGUGAUGGCCUACCAAGGCGACGACGGUAGCCGGCCUGAGAGGCGACCGGCCACACUGGGACUGAGACACGGCCCAGACUCCUACGGGAGGCGAGCAGUGGGGAAUCUUGCGCAAUGGGCGAAAGCCUGACGCAGCGACGCCGCGUGAGGA